This 334-nucleotide ribosomal RNA is filed under the name uncultured prokaryote. Its description in RNAcentral is "bacterial SSU rRNA". It matches the Rfam family "Bacterial small subunit ribosomal RNA", at positions 26 to 352 of the family's 1533-position model. The record is from RNAcentral.
AGGACGAACGCUGGCGGCGUGCCUAACACAUGCAAGUCGAACGAGGUCCAUCCGGUGGCAACACUGGUGAAGAUCGAGUGGCGAACGGGUGAGUAACACGUGAGCAACCUACCCCGAAGACCGGGACAACACCGGGAAACCGGUGCUAAUACCGGAUGCCCCCACGAGCCCGCAUGGGUUUNUGAGGAAAGGAUUACCGCUUCGGGAGGGACUCGCGGCCUAUCAGCUUGUUGGUGGGGUNAUGGCCCACCAAGGCGACGACGGGUAGCUGGUCUGAGAGGACGAUCAGCCACACUGGGACUGAGACACGGCCCAGACUCCUACGGGAGGCAGC